This 1274-nucleotide long non-coding RNA is filed under the name Homo sapiens (human). RNAcentral's name for it is "HSALNT0360555". Lineage: Eukaryota; Metazoa; Chordata; Mammalia; Primates; Hominidae. The record is from RNAcentral.
CUGGUUCCUUGCAGCUGUGACUCCCCAGGGUAAGAGGCAAAGAGCCACCAGGUCCCAGCUGAGGAAGCCCUGUGGUCAGCUCAGACAGGGAUGCGGACUGAAGCCGAAGCAGGUGUUAGUAAUUGUCGUACCUACAGACGAGGAAACCGAGCCUCCAUGAAGUGAAGUGACUCACCCACAGUCACACAGCUAAUAUAUGCCAGAGCCCACAGCAGAACCCAGACGUACUGAGGCCAAGUUCCAUGCCAGCAUAAAACAGGCUCUGGCAUCCGGUGCAGUCUUGCUCGUCAUCUCCGCUUCCCUCUGCUUCUUCCCAGGCUCCAGUUCUCCCUGGAUUCCAGGAACACCAUCUCCUUCCUCGUCCCUUCCAUCCCAGGGAAGGUUUACACUGAAAAUUUUUUGUGAUGAAAAGAUUUGAAGAAGAUGACAGGAGAUGGAGAAGCACCAGCUGAUCUGCAGACUCCAAGGAGGUCCCAGGAAGAGGAAUCUCAUCAAAUGACCAGGAAAGAAGCAAAGAGACGGAGUUGUCACUAUACCCAGAUAGACUACUCAUCUAUUCUCGAGGGCAGGUCUGACAACCUUUGUGCAAGGUGACGUUUCACUCCUCACCUUCCCAACACCUCCCCCAGAGCUCAGAGGAACUUUUGUCAUUUACUCCUACACACCUCAUCCCCGCCUUCCCUAAGAAGAGAGGGUAGACAGGCAUCUGGACCCUGCUGGGUUAUUAGGCCAUUACUCUUCUGCAAUUCCCCAUGGUAUGCACGUUAAAAUAAACGCAUGCCUUUUCUCCUGUUGCUCUGCCUUUUUCAGUUCAUUUUCAGCAAACCUUCAGAGGGUGAAAGGGGAAGUUUUCUUCUUUGUCCCUACAUUUUGCAUUGUCUUAUACCUUGACAUUUUUCUACUCGUCAAGUUAAACUGUAAAGCAAAAUAUAGAUCAUUAGCUGACUAAUUAUUUUUGAGUUAAAAAGUAGCUAGCAUUUGGUUUUGGGUACCACAGUGUGUCUAAUAUAGUCUUUUUAGAAGCAAUGAUCUAUAAACAUUUUUUAUCAUUCACCAUUUCUGGUUGAGUAAAGUGACUCACAGUUGUAGUCCUACCUAUUCAGGACGCUGAGGCAGGAGGAUCACUUCAGCCGAGGAAGGAGUUCAAGUCCAGCCUGGACGGUCUCUAAAAAUAUUAAAAUUUAAAAAAAAUUCUGAACAUGCAACCCCAAUAUGUAUUUAUUUGUAAAUGAUAUACUGUCACUAAUACAUUGACAUUAAACAAGUAGAAAACA